UACAGGGGGUGCAAACGUUGCUCGGAAUUACUGGGCGUAAAGCGUGCGCAGGCGGUCUUUUAAGUCAGAUGUGAAAUCCCCGGGCUUAACCUGGGAACUGCGUUUGAAACUGGAAGGCUUGAGUGUGGCAGAGGGGGGUGGAAUUCCACGUGUAGCAGUGAAAUGCGUAGAGAUGUGGAGGAACACCGAUGGCGAAGGCAGCCCCCUGGGCUAACACUGACGCUCAUGCACGAAAGCGUGGGGAGCAAACAGG
Molecule: ribosomal RNA, 253 nt
Filed under: uncultured bacterium
Lineage: Bacteria
Description: partial 16S ribosomal RNA
Rfam family: Bacterial small subunit ribosomal RNA
Source: RNAcentral